AACGAACGCUGGCGGCAUGCCUAACACAUGCAAGUCGAACGAGACCUUCGGGUCUUGUGGCGCACGGGUGUGUAACGCGUGGGAACCUUCCCUUAGGUUCGGAAUAACUCUCCGACUGGGGUGCUAAUACCGGAUAAUGUCUUAGGCCCAAAGAUUUAUCGCCUUUGGUUGGGCCCGCGUUGGAUUAGCUAGUUGGUAGGGUAAUAGACUACUAAGGCGACGAUCCAUAGCUGGUCUGAGAGGAUGAUCAGCCACACUGGGACUGAGACACGGCCCAGACUCCUACGGGAUGCAGCAGUGGGGAAUAGUGGACAAUGGGCGGAAGCAUGAACCAGCUAUGCCGCGUGAGUGAUGAAGUCCUUAGGGUUGUAAAGCGCUUUUAACCGGGAUGAUAAUGACAGUACCUGAAGAAUAAGCUCCGGCUAACUCCGUG
RNAcentral lists this ribosomal RNA (433 nucleotides) under uncultured bacterium. RNAcentral describes it as "partial 16S ribosomal RNA". It matches the Rfam family "Bacterial small subunit ribosomal RNA", at positions 29 to 507 of the family's 1533-position model. The record is from RNAcentral.